This 369-nucleotide unclassified non-coding RNA is filed under the name Hevea brasiliensis (rubber tree). The record is from RNAcentral. Lineage: Eukaryota; Viridiplantae; Streptophyta; Magnoliopsida; Malpighiales; Euphorbiaceae.
GUGAGCUUGUUUUGCAUUUUCUUGAGAGGACUACAUGAUCAUCAGAUGUUAACUGCACCAAAGCCUCCGGAGAUAUAUUCUUAGAAGUUCUUAAAGCUGAUGAAUUUGACACAAGAAGCCUUAAAUUCUGGGUGAAGGACUCCCAGUGCGUGGGCAUGUUCGUGCGUACCAAAUAAAGGAUUGCGGAAGUCACUUUAUCUCGAAAAAGUUCACCAAUUAUUUCAAUAGCCAUAACUGUGUUUGAUUUAGAUAAUACUUCAUGUUUUUCUGUUCUGCCCCCAGCAAAACCAUCAUGAUUAUUCAAUCCCAUAUCUUGAGAUGUAAUAGGCCACCUAGACUUCUUUUCCACAGUCAGUUCCAGCAAUCCCU